Molecule: ribosomal RNA, 468 nt
Filed under: uncultured bacterium
Lineage: Bacteria
Description: partial 16S ribosomal RNA
Rfam family: Bacterial small subunit ribosomal RNA
Source: RNAcentral
GACGAACGCUGGCGGCGUGCUUAACACAUGCAAGUCGAACGGAAAGGCCCUGCUUUUGUUGGGUGCUCGAGUGGCGAACGCGUGAGUAACACGUGAGUAACCUGCCCUUGACUUUGGGAUAACUUCAGGAAACUGGGGCUAAUACCGGAUAGGAGCUCCUGCUGCAUGGUGGGGGUUGGAAAGUUUCGGCGGUUGGGGAUGGACUCGCGGCUUAUCCGCUUGUUUGUGGGGUAGUGGCAUACCAAGGGUUUGACGGGUAGCCGGCCUGAGAGGGUGACCGGCCACAAGAGGACUGAGAGACGGCCCAGACUCGUACGGGAGGCAGCAGUGGGGAAUAUUGCAGAGUGGGCGGAAGCCAGAUGCAGCGACGCCGCGUGCGGGAUGACGGCCUUCGGGUUGUAAACCGCUUUCGCCUGUGACGAAGCGUGAGUGACGGUAAUGGGUAAAGAAGCACCGGCUAACUACGUG